GACGAACGCUGGCGGCGUGCUUAACACAUGCGAGUCGAACGGAAAGGCCCUGCUUUUGUGGGGUGCUCGAGUGGCGAACGGGUGAGUAACACGUGAGUAACCUGCCCUUGACUUUGGGAUAACUUCAGGAAACUGGGGCUAAUACCGGAUAGGAGCUCCUGCUGCAUGGUGGGGGUUGGAAAGUUUCGGCGGUUGGGGAUGGACUCGCGGCUUAUCAGCUUGUUGGUGGGGUAGUGGCUUACCAAGGCUUUGACGGGUAGCCGGCCUGAGAGGGUGACCGGCCACAUUGGGACUGAGAUACGGCCCAGACUCCUACGGGAGGCAGCAGUGGGGAAUAUUGCACAAUGGGCGGAAGCCUGAUGCAGCAACGCCGCGUGCGGGAUGACGGCCUUCGGGUUGUAAACCGCUUUCGCCUGUGACGAAGAGUGAGUGACGGUAAUGGGUAAAGAAGCACCGGCUAACUCCGUG
This 468-nucleotide ribosomal RNA is filed under the name uncultured bacterium. RNAcentral describes it as "partial 16S ribosomal RNA". It matches the Rfam family "Bacterial small subunit ribosomal RNA", at positions 28 to 507 of the family's 1533-position model. The record is from RNAcentral.